RNAcentral lists this long non-coding RNA (5503 nucleotides) under Musa acuminata (dwarf banana). RNAcentral's name for it is "long non-coding RNA (MACU_LNC004275)". The record is from RNAcentral. Lineage: Eukaryota; Viridiplantae; Streptophyta; Magnoliopsida; Zingiberales; Musaceae.
CUCUGAACGGUUACACAACAAAGGAUCCAAAAUGGUCCACUACAGAUCGAAAUCUCUCACAAGUAUCCACAUGACACAACUUUUAUUUAUAAGCAAAAAAUAACCACUAAACCCAACUAAAUUGGGAUUGUUAAGCCUUCGACCGUCCCUCUACAUGCUGUGCAAAGCAUGAACAAACCAAAAGACACGGACAUACAUGAGCAUUAUAUUAAACACCCUGUUUACAAUUUUGUCCGUGACAGCACGCCUUAGGGAAUCCCAGCUAAGGAUGUGACAAUACUCUAGAUGAAUGUAUCAAACUUAUCUCUAAGUCUAGAUGUCUAGUGUGGAUAAUAAAGAUUUCAAAAAUCUUUAAUAAGUAAAAAUUGAAGCCAACUACGUAACUCUAUAUAACGAAGGAAAUUUUUCGGCCAAUCCUAACAUGCCUCCAAACUAAAGUUAAAUGUUUUUUCUAUAAUUUCUUUGCUUUCCAAUUCCUUGCAUUAAUUGUUUUACACAAUAUACGUUGUGUCCACAAAUUGCUUUGGUUACUCCAACAUAAGCAAGGUGCUAAAGUAAAAACAAGUUGUAAAUUCCAAAUUUGGGGUCAGCUUGAUUUUUCACACGAAACUCUACUUAGCUCAACUAGUUAAACUGAAAGCGUUCACUCCCAUAUUAUUCCUAGUAAAAACCUUUCAGAUUUUUUCUUCCAUUUAUUAUACCUAAUUGCACUCGUACAUGUAUCCACCUCAAAAUUCUCAUCUCGUCCUACUGCUGACUGAUAGGAUAUUUCCCUUCUUAUAAGUACCCUCUUUCUUCAAGAGAAGGUAUCCUCCAUGAGACAUUUAAUACAGGACAGGAAGAAGAGAAGACAUAAAAAGGAGCAACACAGAUUAUUAGUUUGAUAACUUCAAUUUAAUUAUAUCUUUAGGGCUAACAAGACCUUUAUCUUUAAACACUUUUUCGUGUCCUCUCCCAGACCUAAACAAAAUAGGACUUCAUAGAUUUCAUUAAUUUCACGUCGCCACAAAAUCUCCCAGUUACAAGUCUCUGUAACUCAUAGAAUAUGACUCUAGAUGCAUUAAAAAAUUACCUAUAAGAACAAUAAUUGAAAAUAUAAUAUUUCUAAUCCAAAUUAAACUAAGCCUCAUUUCAUGAUCCAAACAGGACUGGGACCUUUUUUUAUGACCUAAUUUGAUCUUGACAUUGGUCCUAACUUGGAGGAGGAAGAGAUCACUUAUUCGCUUGGAUGAAAGAUGUAAAUCAGAUUGUUGGCGUAUAUCCAACUUUUUGUUGAAGUCUCUCAUCCUGGAUUUUCAAGAUGGUUUACCCAUGACAGUUUGAAGCCUUAACAAGUGCAGCAAAACUUUUAAAUAAAUUUGAUCCGAAUUGGUCAAAAUUUGCACCAUUAAAAACUUUGGAUUAAUCCAAUCCAGGCUACACCAAAUUUUCAUCAUAAUACUAUUUAAAUGAUGAUAACCUAUUGGAUUGGUACAGAAUGAGAUACUGACAUUAUACUACCUUGUACCGCUUGGUAUCAUUGAAUUAAUACAUAAUAAAACUGCAUAGUAUAUCAAGUGUAUCAACAUGUUGAUACAUAUGCUUUGAUGAAAUAUUUCAAACCAUGUAUCAGAGCACGUAAAUAAUUUACUUUUAUUUUGUUCAAAGGAGAGCAACAAUCAUUCAACACUUUGAACUCUCUACAUUAACCAUCAUACUUCAACCUUAUUAAAAAUAUCUUCAUCGAACUCUCCUUCCUGUUGAUUAAUUGAUCCAAUAUAUAAAAAAAUCUAUCAACAGUUUUCGUGCAUCUACUCUUAUCUAUAAGUUACUAAAGCUACAAUAUAUAUAUAUAUAUGUGUGUGUGUGUGUGUGUGUGUGUGUGUGUGUGUGUGUGUGUGUGAGUGUUGUACAUCGAAGUGGUCCAAAACUGGUAUAUAAGUUCAUCUCAGUGGCACAUGUUUAGAGUGUAUUUGAACUCAACUCUAGUAUAUAAAAUAUAUAGCUGUAACAAAUAGCAUACACCACAGAUUGCAAUCUUAUGCAUCUUUGAUAAGGUUACCAUUAUGAUUGCAAAAAUAUAAGACAUAAAGCUCAAAUUUAAUAUAGAUAUUGUUAUACUACUACAUAUCUAUAGUUCUAACACCAUAAACAACUCCAUCAUGCAUAUCCUUAAUCACAUCAAUGUCCAAAUCUAAAGAUGUCCAAAUUUAAUAUAUCUAUACAAAGUAGAUGCAUAAAAUAAUGCAAACAAGGGGCAAAAAUACUCCAAAAGUAAAAAAUUAGUAAGAUUCAUAUUUAGAUAAAAAAGGGGCAUACCCAGUACACAUAGCUCCUGUCAAUGCAAGGUCUAGGAAGGGCCAACGUACACAGCCUUACUUUUAAAGAUUUAUAUUUAGAUCCAAAUACCAUAACCUAGACUAAGCUAGACUUAACCUUGUCCUUAGUCCACAGGCUUGGCUUACAACUGAACUGUCUUAACUCAAAACUUCAUCAACCUUGAGUUCAAAAUUUGAAGCCCAAGGUGGUAGCAGUUGUACCUUACAGUGGCUUGGUAGUUAGUGGACAAUAAAUAUAGUGCCUAAAAUCAUGCAAUUACGUUAUACUAGUAACUAAAUAUUCAAGUAGAAUAGUUUGAAGGGGAUCUCUACCACAUCCCACUGAAGCUGGAGUAUGGCAACAUUUUAGGCAUGUGGGUGGUUUGUCGACCAACUUAAAGACAAUUUGAGACUUCCAAAACAUCAUGGAGCUCAGAAUCAAAAGAAAUACGAGAGUCCAAAGCUGAACACUGCAGGACUUCUAUAUUGACUUAAACGACUUCAUUGACUUGCUUGAUGUUCAACAACCAUGAAGGUAACACUGAUGCACAAGGUGGAAAUAAAAAGAGGAGCUAAAACAAUAAUCCUGAUUCAGCAAGUCAACCAGUCACCAAACCCCACAACUUAAACCAAGUAAUCUUUAGAUCCAUGUGGCGCAUUUAAAUAGGAUUUUCCAAUCCCAAUCCUAAUUGCAAAUCAAAUCAAGAGUCUUGGGAGAGUACCCCAAUCUUGUCAAUAAGUUCCUGUUCCUAAUUAAAUCCUGAUUAUGCGAUAGGAUCUCAAAGGAGUGAAUAUAGUAACACUCAGAAUCCUGAUUCCUGAUAACAAUCAGCAUAGUCCCAUUGGGAGUGAAAUCCAAUAACGUUAUUUGACCGAAACAAGGAAGAGAGAAUACAUGCAAAUUUCUGGGUUAUUUUAAUCAUAUUUUUAUUGCAGCAUAUUGUAAAUAGAAUUAGAGCUUUAAUAGUUCAUGAAUAAGGAGGUUUGAGAGCCCUAAAAAUAUCUUAACACCCAUUCAUUAUCUUUUUGCAAUUUUUCAAUGAUUUUCAAUGAUAAAAUUAGCCUGUUUUAGUAUAUUUAAUCGCUAGAGGCUAUAGUCAACAAAAAAACAUUGUAAACAAUAAACCUAUUAGGGAAAAUGAAACAGAGGUUGCUCUGUGAAAUUGGACUUCUUUUGUAGUCUAGAUAGGGAAUGUGUUUGAGAGUAUUAUUAAUAAGGAAUCCUGUAAGCCCCAAAAGCAUAUCGAGCAUGGAGCUUCUUUUUGUUGUGACUCCAACAAUUUUCAGCAAUUCAAGUAUUUAACUUUUGUUUAAUCUCUGAGAUGAGUUUCUCUUCCUCGAACUAGAGAAACCUGAACUAGAAGGAGCUACUCUGAACAGAAAAAUAAUGGAGAACAAUGCAUUAAAAGAAUAAUAACAUAUAUUUAUUAUAAAAAUUAAUACUAAUCAGGUUAUACAAAGAUAACAAUGUAGCAACUAAUUAUCUAUAAUGUCACACAAAAGCCCAAAAUUUACCCACCUGCAGGAAGAGAGCAACCAAUUCCUGUAUGCUUCUUUGAUCACCAUGUGGUCAAGUGUUAGGUAAUGCAAAAGUAGCAAUACAUUAAUUUCAUGAGAUUUAAGAUUAAUCUAGAAUUCCAUGGCAUCCCCCAUUUAUUAUGACAACUUGUUCCCCAGAGUUCUAACUACCUAUGAUCAAUUCUGACCAGUUUCGAUUAAUUUCCAGCAAAAGGGUGAGAGAUUGGACAAAAUGAGAUCAUCCUUGGUUGAUACGAAUAUAAAUCAUGUGAUGUAUUGCAAUUGACUGAUACAACAAACUAUGUAAAGAAUACACCACAUGUGACCUUGAAUUGUACUAAUCCACUAAUCCCCAUCUCAUGCUUCUGUUUCAAAAUGAUCAUCAAUUAUAGGAAUUCCAAUUGUAGGCAUGUGCCUAGAAGUUAAAAGGGAGAACUGUAUGGAAGAGAGUAAGCAACAAAAUGCAUCAGAAAGUCUACCAAAUAAAGAACUCCUUCAAGUGCAGUAAGAAAAUAUGUAACAAGCACAUGUAUCAUGAUGAAACAUAAAACAGCAGCUGGUGAGUGACUAGGAGGACAAUGCAACAAAAGGUGACCAAGGAAGCCCAAGUACUAAAUGCUAGUAGAAAGGCCCGAAAUGUGUCACUGAAUCUUCCCUUAAAUAAAGCAUUUACUAGUUUCAAACACACCUUGAUGCUGUAGCUCUGGCCUAGAUAUUUAUACAGCCAGUCAACCUUAAGGUUCCAUAAAGCCUUGCCCAAAGACAGGGAUUUAUAAUAAUAUUCAUCAUAAUUAUACUAAUAGCUGACUAGUGAAGCAUUGGUUUUAUUUUCAAGAAAGUUACAAAAAGCAUAAUUAUGGCAUCACCAAACAAAUAAUAAUUAAUAACAUCAGUAUCAUAAGUAAAUUUAAGAGUAACAAAAGCGUAACAUGCAUACUUGAAUAAAUAUAUUCAAAUGCAAAGCAAAAGAUGUAUCUUGUAGAAGCAUUCAUUCAUAUGUAACUACAUAUGGUACACCAACAUAUAUGCAUACAAGUUGAGGUCAUUUGUGCAUCCAUAUGAACAUAGCAAAAGCCAUAUGCCUUAUCAAACAGAGAAAUUAUCGAGCUCUAAGAGCAAAAGAUAUAUCUUGUAGAAGCAUGUAUUAAUAUGUACAAGUUGAGGCGUAUGGUACAUCAACAUAUACAAGUUGAGGUCAUUUAAGCAUCCAUGUGAACAUAGCAAAAGCCACAUGCCUUAUCAAACAGAGAAAUUAUUGAGCCCUAGUACUCAGCUAAUCUGAGUUGCUUAUGAACAAACAACCUUGGCAUCUUGAAAUCUUUCUGAUUGAUUCAGGAAGUUGUGAGAAACAUCAUAUGGAAGCAAACUCAUUCCAUAAAGUUAAUUCAGUUGGAAUAAGAUGAGCAAAAGAAGACCAAUUUACAAAAGAAAACAAAGUGCACUUCCACAAGACUCACAAAGAAGAUGGUAGGAUAGCAUUAAGUGCAAUGAACCUUGUCUCUUGCAUGCAAUGAAGUUAGUUCCAUGAUUUUAACCAUUCAACCACUGAAAAUUUAGAUUAUACACAAGCUUAAGAAUAAAAAAUAAACACUUAUUUCCAAGCGUUCAAUGAAUAAUAUGAACCUUAAUUAACAGAACCUGAUUAAACAUAGCACGUGAAAAUUCAUUUUCCUAUUUUCUGUUUCUAA